GUCUACGGCCAUACCACGUUAAAAACACCAGUUCUCGUCCGAUCACUGAAGUUAAGCAACGUCGGGCUCGGUUAGUACUUGGAUGGGUGACCGCCUGGGAACACCGAGUGCAGUAGACG
This is a ribosomal RNA of Lottia gigantea (owl limpet), 119 nucleotides long. The record is from Rfam. Lineage: Eukaryota; Metazoa; Mollusca; Gastropoda; Lottiidae.